This 371-nucleotide ribosomal RNA is filed under the name uncultured bacterium. RNAcentral describes it as "partial 16S ribosomal RNA". It matches the Rfam family "Bacterial small subunit ribosomal RNA", at positions 338 to 706 of the family's 1533-position model. The record is from RNAcentral.
CCUACGGGAGGCUGCAGUGAGGAAUAUUGGUCAAUGGGCGGAAGCCUGAACCAGCCAAGUAGCGUGCAGGAUGACGGCCCUACGGGUUGUAAACUGCUUUUAUACGGGAAUAACGCGCCUUACGUGUAGGGCUUUGCAUGUACCGUAUGAAUAAGGACCGGCUAAUUCCGUGCCAGCAGCCGCGGUAAUACGGAGGGUCCGGGCGUUAUCCGGAUUUAUUGGGUUUAAAGGGAGCGUAGGCCGAAUGUUAAGCCUGUUGUGAAAGGUUGCGGCUCAACCGUAGCAUUGCAGUGCAAACUGGAAGUUGGGAGUAGAGUAGAGGUGGGCGGAAUUCGAGGUGGAGCGGUGAAAGGGUUAGAGGUAGGGAAGAA